Molecule: ribosomal RNA, 115 nt
Filed under: Heliconius melpomene (postman butterfly)
Lineage: Eukaryota; Metazoa; Arthropoda; Insecta; Lepidoptera; Nymphalidae
Source: RNAcentral
ACGUCCAUACCACGUUGAACACACCGGUUCUCGUCCGAUCAUCGAAGUUAAGCAACGUCGGGCGCGGUCAGUACUUGGAUGGGUGACCGCCUGGGAACACCACGUGCCGUUGGCU